This 497-nucleotide ribosomal RNA is filed under the name uncultured bacterium. RNAcentral's name for it is "partial 16S ribosomal RNA". It matches the Rfam family "Bacterial small subunit ribosomal RNA", at positions 28 to 507 of the family's 1533-position model. The record is from RNAcentral.
GAUGAACGCUGGCGGCGUGCCUAAUACAUGCAAGUCGUGCGAACAGACGAGGAGCUUGCUCCUCGGACGUUAGCGGCGGACGGGUGAGUAACACGUGCAUAACCUACCUAUAAGACUGGGAUAACUUAGUGAAACCGGAGCUAAUACCGGAUAAUAUAUUCAACCGCAUGGUUCAAUAGUGAAAGACGGUUUUGCUGUCCCUGAUAGAUGGAUCCGCGCCGCAUUAGCUAGUUGGUAAGGUAACGGCUUACCAAGGCAACGAUGCGUAGCCGACCUGAGAGGGUGAUGGGCCACACUGGAACUGAGACACGGUCCAGACUCCUACGGGAGGCCGCAGUAGCGACUCGUCCGCGAUGGGCGGAAUCCUGAACGAGCAACGCCGCGUGAGUGAUGAAGGUCUGCGGAUCGUAUGACUCUGUUCUUAGGGAAGACCAAAUGUGUAAGUAACUAUGCACGUCGUGACGGUACCUACUCAGAAAGCAACGGCUAACUACGUG